AACCAUAUCCAGAACUUUCCCUGAAGAAUCACUGAUGAUGAGAUGGAGGAGGUGAAGAUGAAGGUGUGUGAGGACUCAUCAGGUCUCCUGACAGCUCCGGUUCCUCCACCACUUCCUCUCUAUACAUGUGUAGAGGUUCUGUAGGACUGAACACAAACAGGAACUUUAGCCAGGAUUCCAGGAACGGCGGUGAUGAGGAGAACUCAGCUGAGGUAUGGAAGCUGCAUGCUGUAUGGGUACGCAUGCUGCUGCACUCGUUCCUGCUCUGCUGCUCUCUUCUUACUGCCGUUCUGUGUAUUACGAGGAAGAGAGGAGCAGAGAGAGACAAAGACAUUCAGGUAACGAGAGAACUUUUCACUUUAUGUCUUUAUCCUCAUCAAGCUCCACAUAAAGUUCCUAUAAAGCUGUUACUGGACUGUUACUAGAUGGAGCAACUUAAUUAAGACUAGCUACCUGUGUUUCAUAGAAGAUUACGUGUCCUCCUAACAGUGGCGUAGCUAAAG
This is a long non-coding RNA of Ictalurus punctatus (channel catfish), 503 nucleotides long. The record is from Ensembl. NCBI's taxonomy places the organism in Eukaryota, Metazoa, Chordata, Actinopteri, Siluriformes, Ictaluridae.